AAGCAGCUCUGCCGUUGAUCUUUCCCACCGGAGGUUUCCGACGGCAGCUGUGCUGCAGCGGCACUGCAGAGCUUGAGGAGUCCACUGCUCUCACACCACAGAGACAGGGAAAGGCACGUGGGCUUGGAGAGCCUUUCGAGAGACUCUUGAACCUGAACUUGGUUGCCUCUGUGCCUGUUGUGAAUGAAAGCAAAGAGCCCAUUGGUCCUGACAAAACUCACAUUGCAGGAAAGGGAGUUUAAAUCCUGAGCAUGUUUUGCUUCAAGGCUAUGCAGACACCUCCAUUUGGUCACUGCUCUGUCUUUUUAUUCCAGCACUGUUGUAGGAAUGUAAAUCAGGACCAAGAAGGAACAAAAUGGCUUCUGUUCCUAAGUAGAUGCUUAAGUUAUGGCCAUCAAAUAUUACAUAGUCUGCAGAAGCUUUCCUGCAGAGUUGUCAUCAGGAGUGAUCCAAUCCUUUUUCAGACUGUCACAGUUUAUAAGUCAAUAAAAUAUCUGUGACUUUCCAAACUCUU
Pipra filicauda (Wire-tailed manakin) is the source of this 514-nucleotide long non-coding RNA. RefSeq lists it as uncharacterized. The record is from RefSeq and is a predicted model, not a curated record. Lineage: Eukaryota; Metazoa; Chordata; Aves; Passeriformes; Pipridae. The transcript is spliced from 2 exons.